AUUGAACGCUGGCGGCAGGCCUAACACAUGCAAGUCGAACGGUAACAGGAAGCAGCUUGCUGCUUUGCUGACGAGUGGCGGACGGGUGAGUAAUGUCUGGGAAACUGCCUGAUGGAGGGGGAUAACUACUGGAAACGGUAGCUAAUACCUCAUAACGUCGCAAGACCAAAGAGGGUGACCAUCGGUCCUCUUGCCAUCGGAUGUGCCCCGAUGGGCUUAGCUAGUAGGUGGGGUAACGACUCACCUAGGCGACGAUCCCUAGCUGGUCUGAGAGGAUGACCAGCCACACUGGAACUGGAACACGGUCCAGAGUCCUACGGGAGGCAGCAGUGGGGAAUAUUGCACAAUGGGCGCGAGCCUGAUGCAGCCAUGCCGCGUGUAUGAAGAAGGCCUUCGGGUUGUAAAGUACGUUCAGCGGGGAGGAAGGGAGUAAAGUUAAUACCUAUGCUCAUUGACGUUACCCGCAGAAGAAGCACCGGCUAACUCCGUG
Molecule: ribosomal RNA, 490 nt
Filed under: uncultured bacterium
Lineage: Bacteria
Description: partial 16S ribosomal RNA
Rfam family: Bacterial small subunit ribosomal RNA
Source: RNAcentral